AGAGUACAGGAGUAGAUUCACCAGUGAAGAGACUCUUAUGUUCUGCAUGCGAGUAAUGGUGGGAGUUAUUAUUCUGUAUGAUCACGUUCAUCCUGUGGGAGCUUUCUCAAAGACAUCAAAGAUUGAUAUGAAGGGAUGCAUAAAAGUUUUAAAGGAACAACCACCUGACACUGUGGAAGGACUUCUGAAUGCUCUCAGGUUCACUACAAAACACCUGAAUGAUGAAUCUACGUCAAAACAAAUUCGAGCUAUGCUGCAGUAGUAACCGGAGACAAGUAGAUGUUUGUAUUGAUCACAGAAGAUGUGUAUGUUUACAUAAUUUAAUACAGUUUGAUGUUAAUACUUGUGUGUAUUUACAUAACCAUUUUCUUCACAUUGCUAAAAUAUAUGAAUCUGUUCAUAACCUGACUGACUUUAUAUAGUGCAGCCUAUGUUUUUAUGCUAGCCUUUAUCUUUUGACUUUUAAAAUACUUUUUUUACUUAGAUACUUCAGCUACGACAGUUUUUCUGUGCAUUUUAAUCCUUGAACACCUUCUGUAUCAGAGAAGUAAGUAGUAGUGAAGACAAAAUGGAAAUCAAGUAAACUGAAAUGUCAAAGAUACCACAGAAAAAGAACUUCAAAGAAGGAGAAAGUUAAUAUAAGCAAAAGUCAAACUCAGUGGAUAUGUUUUAAGAACAUGUGCACAGUUUUUUAGUCAGUUAGUUUUAGGAUCUCAUGUAUGAAUAGGAGAAUACCUGAACGUUCAUCACUCUCAUUAAAUACAUUGUCUUUCCUGUAAUAAGAGGAGAUCCACCUGAUUUUAAAGACUCUGUGCUGGCUGACGUCCAAAAACAUAUUGCAAAGAAGUCAUUUUACCUUUCUUAUUAAGUAUAACCUGUACCUUUCAACAAUUGAGGAAAUUAAUAUCCUUUUUCAGAUUCAAUAUAAAUAAACAGAACAUCUUUUAAGAUCACUGCUAGAUUUUGAAAAUUCUGUGUAAUUUUAUUA
Non-coding RNA from Leptosomus discolor (cuckoo roller), 988 nucleotides. Lineage: Eukaryota; Metazoa; Chordata; Aves; Leptosomiformes; Leptosomidae. The record is from RefSeq and is a predicted model, not a curated record.